AUUAAGGUGGCAGAGAAAGUGCAUUAGGUUUAAGCCCUAAAUAUGAAGAUUAACAUCUUCCCUUAAUA
This 68-nucleotide transfer RNA is filed under the name Neritina violacea. Its description in RNAcentral is "tRNA-Leu". It matches the Rfam family "tRNA". Rfam says of the family: Transfer RNA (tRNA) molecules are approximately 80 nucleotides in length. Lineage: Eukaryota; Metazoa; Mollusca; Gastropoda; Cycloneritida; Neritidae. The record is from RNAcentral.